GACCUUUAGUUUGAAACCCCGAAACCAGGUGAGCUACCCCGAGACAGCCUAUUAGGGCCAACCCGUCUCUGUGGCAAAAGAGUGGGAAGAGCUCCGGGUAGAAGUGACAGACCUACCGAACCUGGUGAUAGCUGGUUGCCUAAGAAAUGGAUAGAAGUUCAGCCUCGUACUCCCCAAAUCAAGUUAACAUCAACAAGACACCAAGAGAAAUACACGAGAGUUAGUUAAAGGGGGUACAGCCCCUUUGACAAAGGAUACAACCUUUUCAGGAGGAUAAAGAUCAUAAUACAUAAAACAUACUGUUCUAGUGGGCCUAAAAGCAGCCAUCUAAACAGAAAGCGUUAAAGCUCAGACAGAAGAAAGUUUAUUAUUCUGAUAACACAUCUUAUUCCCCUAAACACUAUUAGGCCAACCCAUGCCCACAUGGAAGAGAUUAUGCUAAAAUGAGUAACAAGAAGGCCCGCCCUUCUCCAAGCACAAGUGUAAGCCAAACCGGACUAACCAUUGGCAACUAACGAACUCAACCCAAGAGAGUACUGUGAAUUUCAAAAAAACCAAGAAAAACCCACAACUUAACCAUCGUUACCCCCACACUGGAGUGCAAUAAAGGAAAGACUAAAAGAAAAGGAAGGAACUCGGCAAACACAAGCCUCGCCUGUUUACCAAAAACAUCGCCUCCUGCAACAUAACCAAGUAUAGGAGGUCCAGCCUGCCCAGUGACUACNAGUUCAACGGCCGCGGUAUUUUGACCGUGCAAAGGUAGCGCAAUCACUUGUCUUUUAAAUAGAGACCUGUAUGAAUGGCCAAACGAGGGCUUAACUGUCUCCCCUUUCCAGUCAGUGAAAUUGAUCUACCCGUGCAGAAGCGGGUAUAAUAAUACAAGACGAGAAGACCCUUUGGAGCUUAAGGUACAAAACUCAACCACGUUAAGCAACUCAAUAAAAAGCAAAAACUUUGUGGAACAUGAGAUUUUACCUUCGGUUGGGGCGACCACGGAGGAAAAAAGAGCCUCCAGGUGGACCGGGAAAACUUCCUAAAACCAAGAGAUACAUCUCUAAGCCACAGAACAUCUGACCAAACAUGAUCCGGCUAAUACAAGCCGAUCAACGAACCAAGUUACCCUAGGGAUAACAGCGCAAUCCUCUCCCAGAGUCCAUAUCGACGAGGGGGUUUACGACCUCGAUGUUGGAUCAGGACAUCCUAAUGGUGCAGCCG
RNAcentral lists this ribosomal RNA (1215 nucleotides) under Carassioides acuminatus. RNAcentral describes it as "partial 16S ribosomal RNA". It matches the Rfam family "Bacterial large subunit ribosomal RNA", at positions 691 to 2561 of the family's 2925-position model. Lineage: Eukaryota; Metazoa; Chordata; Actinopteri; Cypriniformes; Cyprinidae. The record is from RNAcentral.